UACGGAGGUGGCAAGCGUUGCUCGGAAUCACUGGGCGUAAAGGGCGCGUAGGCGGGGAGGUAAGUCGGGUGUGAAAUCCCUCGGCCCAACCGAGGAACUGCGCCCGAGACUGCUUCUCUUGAGUCCCGGAGAGGAAGAUGGAAUUCCUGGUGUAGCGGUGAAAUGCGUAGAGAUCAGGAAGAACACCGGUGGCGAAGGCGCUCUGCUAGGCCGCAACUGACACUGAGGGACGAAAGCUAGGGGAGCGAAUGGG
Molecule: ribosomal RNA, 253 nt
Filed under: uncultured bacterium
Lineage: Bacteria
Description: partial 16S ribosomal RNA
Rfam family: Bacterial small subunit ribosomal RNA
Source: RNAcentral